Non-coding RNA from Vicia faba (fava bean), 300 nucleotides. The record is from the annotation of a GenBank genome assembly. Lineage: Eukaryota; Viridiplantae; Streptophyta; Magnoliopsida; Fabales; Fabaceae.
AUGGGCAGAGCAAACACGUUGAUGCAUCUCCGGAGAUCUGCUAGGGGGGUGGAGAGUACUACCGGGCUCUGCAAAUUGAUCCUAGGAAGAGAAGCUGGGUCGCAGCCCUGGGUUGAUCAAAAGACUAAGAGUGGCAGUAUUGGGAAGAAGGCAGUGGUGGAUUCAUCGUCGUCAUAUUCUUGCUGCUGGGUUCCGCACCCGAGGACUGGAAUUUAUUUCCCUGUAGGCCAUGACUGGGUAAUGGAAGAUGUUCCUGAAGGCGCUGCCACGUUCUCUGAGACCUGUUACUUCAGAAAUUAA